Molecule: long non-coding RNA, 1118 nt
Filed under: Homo sapiens (human)
Lineage: Eukaryota; Metazoa; Chordata; Mammalia; Primates; Hominidae
Description: non-protein coding CDKN2B-AS1:46
Rfam family: CDKN2B antisense RNA 1 convserved region 3 (bases 373-516)
Source: RNAcentral
AUCCGUCACCUGACACGGCCCUACCAGGAACAGCCGCGCUCCCGCGGAUUCUGGUGCUGCUCGCGUCCCCGCUCCCCUAUUCCCCUUAUUUUAUUCCUGGCUCCCCUCGUCGAAAGUCUUCCAUUCUUCAAACUAGAUUAUUUAAAAAUGAAAAAGGAAGAAAGGAAAGCGAGGUCAUCUCAUUGCUCUAUCCGCCAAUCAGGAGGCUGAAUGUCAGUUUUGAACUAAAAGCCGCUCCGCUCCUCUUCUAGAUUUGGAAAACAAGCGAAAUUAAACUAAACCGCUGCACGCCUCUGACGCGACAUCUGGACACGGCGCGGCGCUGGCGCUGCCGGAGCUGUCGACCCGGCCUGGCGCCGGACUAGUGUCCCUUUUGAUGAGAAGAAUAAGCCUCAUUCUGAUUCAACAGCAGAGAUCAAAGAAAAGACUUCUGUUUUCUGGCCACCAGAUAUAUGUUAUCUGUGCUUAAAGAAUUGAAAAACACACAUCAAAGGAGAAUUUUCUUGGAAAGAGAGGGUUCAAGCAUCACUGUUAGGUGUGCUGGAAUCCUUUCCCGAGUCAGUACUGCUUUCUAGAAGAAAACCGGGGAGAUCUAUUUGGAAUGUAUCUAACUCCAAAGAAACCAUCAGAGGUAACAGAUUGGCUUCUCUCACAUGGCAAGAAACAUUGCUGCUAGCACUUCCCGAGUUCUACGUUCUACAACAUCCACCACUGCUAUGUCUCACAGUCCAGACUUGGAGUACAAGUAAUAAGAAGAAUAAAACUUAAUCCCUUAAGUAGAUUCACCAUAAGUUAGCUCAGAGCAAUUCCAGUGCAAGUAUGGUCUGUGAUCCAGUAGUAUCUUACAGACAGCAAGUUGAACAUUGUGGGAUGCAUGAGCUAUUGAGGCCUUUGCAGCUUUCUGCUACAUGGAGGCUAGGGCCAGAGUCAAGAUUUAUGCUUUGCAGCACACUGGUCAGCUGUUUUUGCAAAUCAGAUUAAAUGAUUUUUAAAUGAGGCUGAGAGCAUGGGAGAUACUAAUGUGUGUUUCCUUGUGAGCUACUGCAUAAGUUAGGAAAUUGAAAUACAGAAAGAUGAAAAGUGAUUUGCCCAAGCAUAUAGAUCAAAGCUGUGGCAGA